RNAcentral lists this transfer RNA (68 nucleotides) under Epomophorus minor (Little epauletted fruit-bat). RNAcentral's name for it is "tRNA-Arg". It matches the Rfam family "tRNA". From Rfam's summary of the family: Transfer RNA (tRNA) molecules are approximately 80 nucleotides in length. Lineage: Eukaryota; Metazoa; Chordata; Mammalia; Chiroptera; Pteropodidae. The record is from RNAcentral.
UGGUAAUUAGUUUAACGAAAACAAGUGAUUUCGACUCAUUAGAUUAUGAUUAUUUUCAUAAUUACCAA